UGAUUGCGACUAAACCUCGUGGUUGAAAUUCAACCCUGUGGAGAAACUCCAACAUGGUGGCUUGUCCUUCCAGCCUAAGCGACUGAUGUCUCAACUCUUAAUUGACAACACAAACCAGCGAGAUUGAUGUGACCGACUCCUGAAUGUGCCAGCAGAUACACAGCACUAGAUUACUAACAGAAGCACUCAAAUAAACAAAUGUCUUUCACAUUUCAACUCUUAGUGACAACACAGCGAGACUGACUACUGCAUGCGUAUGUGGAGGUGCAAUACAAACUCUAUAUCAUUAUAAUUUUUAUGGACUGAACAGUGCAGUGUUGGAAGCAAGCACACGUUAGACAAGUCUUAACUCUGCAAGAGUGUACUGGAGCUAGGUUGUUUCCCAAGGGGUAGUCACUCCAAUGCCAUUGAAAUUUGUAAACAAGAGUCUCUACAGUAUGAUGGGAGUUCAAUGAAGUUUUGGAUAACACCUGCAUGUCUUGUUGUUAUUGUCUGUUGGUCACCACCUGGGCACUCCCCUGGACUCUGAGACAACCCUCAGUUGUGAGAAACUGAUGAAAUAAUAAUGGUCUGUUGCUUGCAAGUUCGUUUCCCGUUUCUAUGCUAUCAAGAUCGUGACAGAAAUGAAAGUAGUGUGACUGUCUCUCUUCCUUCGACUAAGCUCUGUACGUAUCAGGUGAAAUAAAUACAGAUAUUACACUUUGCCCAUUCACUGUCCAUUAGUGCAUGCAAAGUAAUGUCCCACUGCAAGGUAUCUAAGUUUGUUCAUCAUUGUUAGAAUAUUCCAUAGAGAAGAAACGCUCUCGAUGUUUCAAUGCUUAUACAUAAUUAUAUGAUUGAUUUUGAUGGGGUACACACUCAGAACAAGUGUUAUGGGCAAAGUGUAUGACUGUCAGGGUUCUAUCUGUUUUAUUGUUUGGGAGAAGGUAAAUUGAAUAUAAAGGAAGUUUGGAGAGGGUCCCCCUAUAGGGAACAUUUUUCAUAUGGAUUCUCAGAAUGAAAGCCUGAUGCCAUUUAUAUAGCUUUUGAAAUUAAGAAUUUGCAGAUAGUAAAGUAUCCUCUGUAUAAUGCCUAUAGGGGGUUCGAGAGCUGGAAUCCCCCUCCUGCAUGUUAGUAUAUAAUCUUUCCAUCAAAAUGGAAAACGUUGAAGACCAGAGCUAUAGUUGAAGAUGAUCGGUUUUUGAAAGAUUUCCACACAUGGUGGUAGCCACAUUAAUAAGAGUUGCACCUUGCCAACCUCUGAGCCCUCCUAUACUUGUCUAAAAUUGCUACGCCUUGCACUAUUGCAUGUCUUAAAUCAGAUAGGAUACUGAGUGACAUUGGUGUGUUAACGUAACCCCAUGUUGUAAGGACAACAAUGGAGGAAAUGCUAGAUCCAAUAAAGCCAAUGCUAUUGUGUGGUUAAUUAGCAAUUGUCCAGUUCAUUCUUAUGGCAACAGUAGGAGGACAAGUGCUGUGGUCGACUUCCCUCAUGACCCCUUUAAACAAUCCAACAAACUAAAACUUACCGGGGGAGUUCGUAGUAGCUGCUUGGAAGUUUUCUGAACGGGGGUGGUUGUUCUAAAAGUAUUUUCAUGGUAUAAAGGCAAAUAAACAAAUAAUUC
Halichondria panicea is the source of this 1604-nucleotide long non-coding RNA. RefSeq lists it as uncharacterized. NCBI's taxonomy places the organism in Eukaryota, Metazoa, Porifera, Demospongiae, Suberitida, Halichondriidae. The transcript has 5 exons. The record is from RefSeq and is a predicted model, not a curated record.